GGCGACCUUGCGGACGCGUGCGGGGCCGAGUGCGGGACUCUGGGCUCCGGAGCGGACUGGGGCGGGUGAGGGGCGAGGAAGAGUGCCUGCCUGGACCCCCUGGCUCCCAAGGAGGGCUAGGCGUCCGGGGAACGUCUCUGCCGCUCUGCAGAGCCAGCAGGAGCAAGAAGGCAGCAUGAGAACUUCUGUUACCACUAAUUGAAAGUAGUUUAUCACUUUAUCUUUCAAAAGUUUAAUGUCAGAACUUCAAGGAGAGGAUAAAUCGUCCAAUCUGGGCCUGAGCCUGGCCUUCCCACCCUCCCGGAGUUUUGAUGUCUGAGAAGAAUCCUAGCGGAUGUGGAUUUACAUGUUAGUACCUGAAAGCGGGUGCAGCCCCCACCCUGGAAUGAGUGUACACUUCCAAAGGAUUCAUUUCCAGAGGGUGGUGGAAGGAACCACAGAGACAGCUAUGUGCCCACACGCUCAGCCAUCUGCUGUUCCAACCACACGUCUCUCCCCCUGUUUCCUGCAAAUGAUUCAUCUAUUCUUUUUCUCCUUCUUCAAAGUUAACUUCUUCAAAGACAACUGUGUAGGCUUUUAAGGGGAAAGUCAUUAAGAAAAGUGGAAUCUGGAGUUCUUAGGAUGAGGUAGAGCGGAUGAAACAGUCUGGAAUUUCACAAAGCAAAGGGUGCAGGUGUGGACUCCGGGCUCUCCUCUCUCCUCCUGGUGCACCAUUUCACGACAGGUUCUCAUCAUCCAUCAGGAACAUGUCCACAAAAAUGGCUGCACGUGAACUACGAGCGCAUGAGUUGCUAAAGAGCAGAAGAGGAGAGGACGGAAGUCGGGAGGAGGAUUCUCGAUUUUCCAGCUGAGAAUGCUGCUCAUCUUACCCGCUGUCCUACACAGCUUCUGUCUCUAAUUUUAUACCAACGAAUGGGAUCUUUGUGACUUUUUCUAAUAAGCAGACCAAAAAGCUGCCACCAAAGUCAGGCUUUCAAGGAUGCCCUAACCAAGCACCUGAGAAUGUGAUUAUGGCUGUGCCUCUGACACCAAGGGUAUUGUGGCAACAUGCUGCAUGGGAAGGGGAUGAGCAUGCCCAAGAGGAGGUAUUCCUUAGUUUUUUGUUGAAUUUCUUCAAAUUGGAGGCAGAUGGGCCUUAUUUCAAAUCCUGGCUCUGCUUCCAGCUUCUGGGACAUUAGGUGAGUUGAUAAAACUCUGGGAAUCUCAGGUACAUUGUGGGAUGAGGACACCUACCUCACCGAGUAGAGUGAGGACUGAAGAGGAUACUGUAUGCAAAGUACUUGGUGUGGUCCCUGGAACAAAGCAGAUACGCAAGUAUCAGGUGAAUAGGAACAUUCUUUAUCAUUUCACUUCCAUUUCUGCCACAUCCUGCGCCCUAAGGCUAGCCAGGUAAAGAACUCAAAGGAGAAUGGGGGUUCUGGCCUAUUCUAGUAUGGUCUUGCCCAUCAGGAGAGGAAGGGACCUGGCAAUAGGCUGCAUGGGACAGACUGUCCCUGUUAAUGCAAGACACAGGGGAGAAGGAGGGAGGCAGAGAGACAAGUAGAGCCUGUUGACACCUUCUUCCCACACCCUCAACAGCCACCACAUCCCCUGUAGCAAGUGGAGGCCCAAGUCAUGAGGGGUCCCAUUGCUGGGUAGAAUAUACAGAUCCCAGAUCAGAUUGAGCUCUUAAAGACUCCAGCAUGAUGCCUCCAUUUCUCAUCUGUAAAAUGGGUGUUAUGAUAGAACUUACAUCUUGGGUUGUUGUGAAGAUGAAAUAAGAUCUUCUCUGUAAAGGACUGAGCAGAGGGCCCAGGACAGUCAGCAAGCAGUACAUAAAUGUUAGCUGCUGUUAUUAUUUUGUUUUCAUUUCAAUAUAUGGAAUUGUUAACAGUUACUUCAUUCAUUAACCUGUUUAUUGAUUGAUCAAUUUUCAUUUAAUAAACAC
Molecule: long non-coding RNA, 1927 nt
Filed under: Equus asinus (donkey)
Lineage: Eukaryota; Metazoa; Chordata; Mammalia; Perissodactyla; Equidae
Description: lncRNA (ENSEASG00005034007.1)
Source: RNAcentral